This 9469-nucleotide long non-coding RNA is filed under the name Panax ginseng (ginseng). Its description in RNAcentral is "long non-coding RNA (PGIN_LNC011086)". The record is from RNAcentral. Lineage: Eukaryota; Viridiplantae; Streptophyta; Magnoliopsida; Apiales; Araliaceae.
UUGCAUAUUCUUACUAUAAUGUUCUUCUAUUUAAUGAACUUUGGAGUAUUUUCAUGCAGCCAAUACGAGCCAAAUUUAAGAUGUUUGUUGUAUUUAUCAGAUUUGAAAAAAUAAAAGGUUUAUCACAAUUCACAACCCAUUCUCAACCUAAUUUGGGGGACUUUGCUCUCAAUUCUAUCUCAAUUUUCCUACUAUUAUUGAUCUCACAGCCUGUUAGUCAGCUAGACAGUCACCCUACUUGAAUGACUGACAAAAGGAGACCAAACCACCAACUUGUCUCUAAGAUUUUUUGGUAAGCCUAACUAGUCCUUGCUAUCAUACUCGAAUAACCCCCACCUAUAAGGAGGAAUGUUAUCGACCAACUAUGAACUAUGAAGGCAAAUUAAGAACAUUGGCCUGAAAAUUUGAGACUCAACUCAAGAGUAUGUGUCCUAUGUGAUGCCUUUGAAUUGAAAGAUUUCUCAUUGAUCCUAUUCACUAAAGUGGUCAACUAUAGAGCAAAACCAUUUUUUUUUAUAAGUAGAAAUUAUAUUGAUCAAAAGUAUCCAUCAGGCGAGGAUGGCACCCACGUACACAGGGAGUGUACCAAAACAAAGGGGUUGCUUACAAAACAUUGCAAGCCCUUCAUAAAAUCGAUCACCAAAAUUGAAUGGGGAAAUCCCAAAUAAUCACGGCCUGCAGAGCAUAAGUAAUGGGAAUGAGAUAUGAAACUUACGGUCACGAGUUCAGAAAUUUUGGGAUGUAUUCAAGAAAAACAGAGCUUGGUUACUGGCUGAGCAUUGUGGAGAAAUAAAGGAUUCCACAACGAUAAUAAAGUACAUCAGUUGCUACCCUUCCUUUUCUUUGAGCAGAAAAAUAAAACUUAAAGUUAAUUGCUAUUCAUCUCAUAGUUAAUGUACAACUUGGUAGAAACAGUAAUAUUCAUUGCACCAUUAAAGUUGGGAAGAUACAAAUGCAACUGAUUUAAAGACGGAAUAUUUUUUAUUAAAAAAAAUAGGUGUUUAUACUUUAUAGAAACGUUAAAACAUUGAGAGGGAUCUCAUAGCCUCGUUAACCAAAAUCAAAAUCUAUGAAGAUUAGACCCAAAUUAAGAUUUGAAUAAAGCAUGUAAUACUAACCAAGUUGUUCCAUUUAUUUGCAACUCCAGAAUCCAUUGAUCAAGUUAGACUUGGCAGGUGCGCUCUGAGAAGAAUAAUGAAGCACAACAGACACAUUUAAGAUAACAUAGUAGCAAAAGUAAUGGAACUACUAUUGCAUUAUGAAACUUCAGAUCCUAACAUAGUAUCAUGACUUGAAUUUGACAGUCCAUUAAAAAUAAUUGUUCUUUAAAAAAAUGCCCUGAACUUGUUGAAGGAUGAUCAUGGUCUGUAACUGCAAUCCUAAAAAUAAAUACUAAAAUUAAAUUACUUUUACAUCACAUAUAUACCUUAAAAUCCUUAUGAACAAUAUUCCAAUCUUGUGCCAACCAUUAUAUAUUUGUGAGCAAAACUGAUGCAUGACAGAUUUAGGGUGAAGGAUUAAUGGACAAUAAACUAGGAUUUAACUCCACGUUUAAACCACUAAGAUCUCUCAAGUGUAUCAACUCCACGUAUUAACACCAAGAUGGAAAAAUACAUCUACGGUAGGAUACCUCUAAGAUAUGAAUAAAAUAAUUCACUUCAAUAUCAAUAGAAUGUAGUCUAAAAGGCUUGUGAGGAUUACAUCACUAUUUAAAGAAACUCAAACCCUAAUAUUACUUGGCGAAUAAUAAAAUACUAAACGACUAACAUACCAUUAUUAAUAAUUUCUAAUCACUAAUUAAUGUCCUAAAUCCCCACUAAAAAAUAAAAUACAUAAAUCACAUCAACUACUUUUUUAUUAAACAUAAUAAAAACUCCAAAUAAUAAAUAUAAAAAAUCUCUUCUUCUUUGUUCUUUACUUGGAGUCCCCAUCAUUCUCCUCUUGUUGGAGAGACCUCGAGUUCUAUAAUAUGAGAAAAUAAGCAAUGAACUCCUCCGCAACGAAAGAACAUCUUGAAACACCUUUGACAAAAUCAUCACACGGUAUGACUCAAAAAAAAUUUAAAAAAAUAUUGAUGAGAGCCUUGGUUUUGAAUUCGAAGGUGCUAAAAAGAAGCUUUCUGGAACAACGAAAUCAACAACGCCAACUUGAAUUGAAUCAACUUCUCAAAUCGUCUUUUCUUCGGUCAUGAACUCCUCAAAAGUAACGUUAGAGGUUUUCUCAAUUUGUUCCUCAUAUAUAAUCUAUGGUUCAACUUUUGAAACUUCAAGAAUUUCCAUGGACACGUUCUGUAGCCCCAAAAUUUGAAACAUCCUCUUUUUCUUUCUAUUGCUCUGCUUGAAAAUGUGCUCGCAAGUCAAUAAGGUCUUCUUUUAUAGAAGAUAUGUCAUCUAUUGAUAAAGAGAUGUGAUCUAUUAAAGAAGAACAUAUAAAAAUCAUAUCAUGUGUAGCCUUUUGAAGUUCUUUUGUUUUAACUUAUUGACGUUUCUUUACUUCAGCUUUUCUUUGUUCAUCUCGGCGUUGCAAUUCUCCAAGGUAUUCUUGUGCAUCAACCAUAUCUCAUCUAAGUUCUUCCUACUUGCGCUUCAAAUAUCUAUAACCACAUGUAUUAAUAAGGUAAUAAAUUUGAUCAUUUUUAUUGUCAAGUAACCAAAUAUACUCUUUUGUUUCGACAAUCAAUUCUUUAGUGACUAGAGACAUUGGGUGUUUGGGACAAUGGGUUAUAAUAUAAAUAAAUAAAUAAAAUAAAACUUAUUUUUUUUAUAAAUUAAGGGCCUAACUGAAAAGAAAAUAAAAAACAGGGGCUAAAAUAUGAAUUCAGAAGUGUAGGGGCUAAUUUAGAAAGAAUGAAAGGGUAUAAGUGAAAAGUGUAUAAACAACGAGGCUAAAAUUUAAAAGUUAAGAAAACCAUGAGAUGUAAACUGCAAUUUUGAAAAUAUAUUUAUAAGAUUACCUAUUAGGGUUAAGAGCAGCAACAGCAAAGCAGAGCACUAGCAAGAAGUUUUUUUCCGUUUUUUUUUCUUUUUCAGCGAACAACAACCCCGAUGAACAGUAACUCUGACGAUGAAUAAUAACUCCGGCGAUGAACAGUAACUUUUUUCCUCUUUUUUUUUAUACCCAAGAUCCCCAAACACUGAAAAAUUAAUGGAGAGACCUUAAACUUUGAUACCAAAAAUGAUGUAGGACAAAUUUAAGGUAAAGGAUUGAUGUACAAUAAACUAGGAUUUAAACUCCACGUUUAAACCACUAGGAUCUCUCAAAUGUAUCAACUCCACGUAUCAACACCAAAAUGAAAAAAUACAUUUUCGCUAUGAUACCUCUACGGUAUGAAUAAAAUAAUUUAUUUCAAUAUCAAUAGUAUGUAGUCUAAAAGACUUGUGAGGAUUACAUCACUAUUUAAAGAGACUUGAACCUAAUAAUACUUUGGGAAUAAUAAAAUACGGCAAAACUAAUGAUUUGGCCACCGAAGUUGGCACGUUUUAUUGAAUACCUGAUUGAACUUUUAAUUUUUCGAAUUAACUCACUCAACUAAUUAUUAUUUUCAAAUUGGGUCAUUCUGUCAAAUCUGGUUAACGGCUGUCAAAAUUUUUCAUACAUGGAAGCAAAAAAAAUAAUAAAAUAAAAUAAAAAAUGAGGUGGCCAACCAGCAACAAUGACAUGGAAAUAAAAAUAAAAAAUUUAUUUUUUUACUCUUUUUUAACAUUUUAAAGUUUUUAAAAUGACAAAAAUAUAAUAAAACACAAUAAAAAUUAAUAAAAAUAAAAACAUUUUUUCAUUCAUUAAAUUAAAUUUAUUUAUCAAGUCUUAAUCAAUUAAAAAACCAAACAUAUGUUCCUUAAAAAAAAGACAACAUUAAAAGUAAAAAAAUCAAAAACAUUCAAAACAGAUCUAGAUCGGGGAAGAUUCAAAACCAAAUCUUAAUCAAGUUCUUUCGUACGCGCGAGGUGGCCUCCGAGAGGGAGUCUGGGCGGGAGAGGGAAGAUCGGUCGACGAGCUCGUACCAGGGGCGGCGCUAGGAGAAGGCAUGGCGGACGAAGGAAGAGAGGCAUAAACGCGCGGAAGGCGGGGGUGGCUAUCGGCGGCUGAGAUUGGGGGUUGGCGGUGGUUGAUUGGGGACUUGAGAUCGGGAGAGUUUGUGGUGAAGCCAUUUCGCGGGAGAGAAGGAAAAAGACAAAGCGAAAGCUGAGUGCUUUCGUUGCAAUUUGCAGAAAAAGGGGCGGAGUAGGAGAAAGAUAAUUCAAACAUAUUGGUUUAUUUGACUGAGAAAAAGGGGCGGAGUAGGAGAAAGAUAAUUCAAACAUAUUGGCGGACGGAGGAAGAUAAUCCUCAUAUGUAUCUAGAUUUGUUUUGAAUGCUUUUAAUUUUUUUAUUUUUAAUGUGUCUUUUUUUUUUAAGAAAAAUAUGUUUGGUUUUUUAAUUGAUUAAGAUUUCAUUUAUCUUGAUAAAUAAAUUUAAUUUAAUGAAUGAAAAAAUGUUUUAUUUUUAUUAGUUUUUAUUGUGUUUUAUUAUGUUUUUGUCAUUUUUAAAACUUUAAAAUGUUAAAAAUGAGUAAAAAAAUAAAUUUUUUAUUUUUAUUUCCAUGUCAUUGUUACUGGUUGGUCACCUCAUUUUUUAUUUUUUUUUCAUUUUUUUUUUGCUUCCACGUAUGAAAAAUUUUGACAGCCAAACCAGAUUUGACAGAAUGGCCGAAUUUAAAAAUAAUAAUUAGUUCAGUGAGUUAAUUCGAAAAAUUAAAAGUUCAAUCAGGUAUUCAAUAAAACGUGCCAACUUUGGUGGCCAAAUCAUUAGUUUUGCCAAUAAAAUACUAAACGACUAACAUACCCUUCUUAAUAAUUUCUAAUCGCUAAUCAAUGUCCUAAAUUCCUACUAAUAAAUAAAAUACAUAAAUCACAUCAACUACUUUUAUAUUAAACAUAAUAAAACUUCAAAUAAUAAAUAUAAAAAAUCUUUUCUUCUUUGUUCGUUACUUGGAGUCCCCAUAGAAAAACAUGAAAGCAUAAGCAUGGUUCGAAAUUGCGUUCGAGGCGCGCCUCGAAGCGAGGCGGUAGUUUUCUAUGGCGAGGUUUACGCCUUAAAGGGAAAUACUAAGGCUUGCGCAUCAUUUGGCUGAGGCUUACGCCUCAGUGCGUUGCGCCUCAAGGCGUAGGCCUUGAUUUGAAUUAAAAUAAACCCUAACUCUGUUCAGUUCUUCACAUUCGUGCAACAGAUCAGGCGAGCUUUGUGCGACUUCUUCUUCUCGAUUCUUCGUGCGGCGUAUCAGGUUCUGUCUUUUUCUCGAUUUUUUUCUUAUUACAGUGAAUUUUUUUUUUAUUACAGUGAAUGAGAUUCUUCUCUCACCCACCAGAUUCUUCUUCUUCUCGAUUUUUUUAAUUACAAUUAAUUGUUAUUAUGGGUAAGAAAGAUUCAACUUGAAAAUAUGGCACCGAAGCUCCUAGAGUUAAUAAAUCUCAUUUAUAUAUGGAAUGCAAUUUUUGCAAGAAAAUUUGCAGAGGGAUUACAAGGCUAAAAAAUCAUCUUGUGGGUAAUCAUAGUAAUGUUGAGACUUGCAAAAAAGAACCAAAUGGAGUGAAGGAAGAGCUUGCGUCAUAUAUGAAGAAAAGUAUCGACUCAAAGGAGGAAAGACAAAGAAAUGAAGCUGAAAAAAUACAAAGUAGGUCUUAUUAUGGUGGUCAUCCAUCCUUGGGAGGUUCAAGCGUGGGUAGUGCCUUCGCGAGGGGAGUUCGGGGACCCAUGGACAUAUUUGUUGUAGAUGUUGAUGCUAUUGAUGAUGAUGCUAUUACAAAGCGUACCGUAUUUUCAAAGGAGACUCGUAAUGCAGUCUGUCUUGAUAUUUGUAGAUUCUUCUUUUAAAACGGGAUUCCUUUUAAUGUUGCAGAUAGUCCUUCAUUUAUAAAUAUGUGUCGGUCAAUUGGGAACUAUGGUCGUGGUUUAAAACUCCCUAUUCCAUACGAGCUUAGUUCUUGGAUAUUGAAGGAGGAAGAUAAGACUACAAAGGCAUUUGUUGAGAAGGUAAAGAAGACUUGAGCACAUACAGGGGUGUCAAUCUUGUCGGAUGGUUGGAAAGAUAUUAGGGGAAGACAACUAAUAAACUUUCUUGUAAACAACCCCAUGACACUGUAUUUUUGAAAUCUGUUGAUGCAUCUGAUGCAGUUAAAGAUGCUAGUUUGAUGUUUAAACUACUUGAUGAGGUUGUUGAGGAAGUGGGAGAAACCUUGUCAUUCAAGUAGUCACUAACAAGGCAUCUAAUUAUAAGGUGGCAGGGAUAAUGUUAAUGGAGAAGAGGCCACGUAUGUGGUGGACACCGUGUGUCGCGCAUUGCAUCGAUUUGAUGUUUGAGAAGCUUGGAGAGUUGCCUCAACAUAAAAAUGCUUUGACAAAAGACAAAGAAGGUAAUUACUAUUAUUAUUUUUUGGAUAUAAUUUUUUUUAUUCAAUGAAUACUUGAAUUAUUUUUUUUUUUGAUGAAUACCAUUAUGUAAUUGUAGGUAAGCAACUUCAUAUAUAAUCAUGGAUGAGUCUUGGCAUUGAUCGGCCAGGCGCCACUAAAUUUGCCAGUGCUUAUUUAACUUUGCAGAGUAUGCAUAGUUUGAGACAGCCUUUGGAGGCAAUGCUUACAUCUAGGGAGUGGGCAAAUUGUACUUGGGCAAAAAAACCUGAAUGUAGUGAUAAGAAUUUUUGGGGUAGUGUAGGAUAUGCAAUUAAGACCACAAAACCUCUAGUAAGUGUAUUGAGAAUGGCAGAUUCAGAGAAGAUGUCGAGAAUGAGAUUUUUAUAUGGUGCCAUGGACAAUGCAAAAGAAGAGAAUGCAAAAAAUUUGGAUAAUGAGGGGGCCUAUAAAGAGAUAUGGAGCAUAAUAGUUGCUAAGUGGAACAAUCAGUUGCAUCGGCAUUUGCACGCUGCUGCAUAUUUUUUGAAUCCUCAUUUUCAAUAUGAUGACAAUUUUUGUGUCAAUGUGGAAGUUAAGGUGGGAUUAUACACUUGUAUGGACAAGCUUAUUCCUAACUCCGAGGAAAGAGAGAAAGCUGAUUUGCAAUUAAAUGCAUUCCGAUUGAGGCAAGGGUUAUUUGACUACACAAAUGCCAAAAACACGUGUAAGAAACGUGCUCCCGGUAAGUACCGUUGAUUAAUGUAUGGCUAUGCUUUCAUUUUGAUUAAACGUGCUCCCGGUAAGUACCGUUGUACCGGUAAGAUUGAUAUAUAUUUUAAUAUUGAUCCAGCUAAUUGGUGGAUCGCAUUUGGAGAUGAAGCUCCAGAAUUAAGAAACUUUGCAGUGAAGAUUUUGAGUUUAACUUGCUCAUCUUCGGCGUGUGAACGUAAUUGAAGUACUUUCAGUCAGGUAUUUAUUAGAUAUAAAUCAUUUAUAUUCUCAAAUCUAUUUACUAAGAUUUUAUGAGAUCUCACUAAUGCUCAAUUACUUGUAAUAAGAUAUAUACAAACAGAAGGAAUCGACUGUCCGCAUUCAAGCUCAACUCAUUCGCUUACAUUAUGUACAAUAAAAAAUUAAAAGAUCGGUACAUCAAAAAAAGGCACUAACAGAAGAAGCGGAUCCAUUGGUUGUUGAUGGUGUGCCAUCUGAUAAUGAGUGGGUUACGGGGGGAAAUGAUGAAAACAUCUCGAGAGUGACUUAAAAGCUUGAUGAUAUGGAGGAGGAGGGUGAAGGGACUCACGGGAAUGAAAUGACAGUUGAGGAGAAGAGACUAAUGUGAGGGAGAUUACACUUAGGGAAAUGGACUCGGGGAACAAGAAAGUAAACAAAAAAAUCAAAAGAGAAAGAGAAAGACUUUGCAGUCAAAAACUAAAACAAAAGGUUAGUGUCAUUACUUAAGUUGUCUUUAGACUUUAAAGUGUUCUUUAAAAAAACAACUCAUUAGUCAUUAUAUAUAUUCACUUGUUUAUUUCUAGAUAAAGGGAAGGGAUUGCAAUUGAUAGAUGAAUAAUCGGAGUAUGAGAAUCUUAGCAGUGACAAUGAGGAUGACAGAGCUAUUAGAUACGAUGAUGAUUUUAUGGAGGAUCCUCUUAGUGAUGAUAGGAAUGAUGAUGGAGAUGAUGGGGGGGAUGAUGAUCUAGGAUUUGAUCCAUUUUUCAGGUCGCUGGAUACAAAUGAUACACUACUUAUGUAGUGAUGGAUGAUCACUAUAUAAGUAGUUGAUGAUAUUAUGUUGUUUUGAUGUUUUAUAAUAAUACAUUAAGGUGACGUUGGUUAUUUAUGUCUUUUAUGGCCUUGAUUAUAAUGAUGAAUUAUUUUAUUAUUUUAUUAGUAUUUUUUUAUAAUUUUUUGGGGACUUUUAAGUUUUCAAAUCGAGGUUUAUACCUCGUCUCGUCCGGAAAAAAACGCGUCGUACCGUUUUUAGUUUUUUCGAACAUUGAGCAUACGCAUGGGUGGAGCCAAGCAAUCCCCAGCAGAGAGCAUGAUUGAUCAAGAAUGCCACCAAGAACUAGAACUUAGCGUAUCAAUGUAUAAAAAAAUAGCAUUUAAUUUUCAAGUCAUCGGUUAUUAGACCAUUCAAAUAAUUUUAAAGAAGCUUCUGACUGCCCUUCAUUUUUAUGACACUAUUUUUGCCAAAAAGUACACUACUGUUCUGAUUAUUCUUACAUUACAUGUAGAGUCCAGAAAAUUAUAGAUAAUUGUCACAUUAAUUUAAGCAGGUUAUUCAUAUUUGCAUUUAUUUGUAUCUGAUGCGGGGGAAGAGUCCAAUUCGAAAGUGGAUUAGGUGUUUAGGUGCGUUAGGGUCGGUAAACUUUUAAAAUGACAUAACUUUUGAUUCAUUUAGAGUUAGGGGGCCCAUAAUAGCUCUACAAGAGUCAUGGCCUUCGGCCAUGAGAAAUUAGUUUUUAAGCCAGAAAACCUGUUUUAAGUUGUUUUAUCAUUGGUCAAACUUGGAUUGUUUUUUUAAUUUUCAUUAUUUUAGUUCUCCUAAUCCUAGAUGUUGGUAAGUUGAUUAGGAUUAUAAAUACUCAUAUAUUAGGGCUCGUUAACAGUUACAUUUUAUUCAAUCAAUAUUUUAUAAUAUUUCUUUGUUCUCUUUUUGGUAGGUUUAAAACUUCAAAUCAUUGUAUGAAUCAAAUUAAAGUGCGAGAUCAAGGGAAAACCUUUUUCUUAAUUUCAAAUGGUGUGAUUGCAUGAAUUCCAGACCUUAUUACAGAAAACAAACCAUCAUAAUUGCAAACCUAGACAUACAAAGAUAAUAAUAUGUUGCAGUAGGAUCGAGAGAAUAAAUUUGAACACAUAACACAUAAGAACAGAUUAUAAAGGACGAUAGAGAGAAAUUACGGACCUUGUUUAGAUUCUUCUUCAUGCUUCUGGCUUGGUUUCGUAUUGACAAUUCGGGUUACCGAAGCUGUGACGGGGUAAGAGUGAAGCUGUAUUAUAUGGAUUCAGGUUGUGUGGACCGAGUUUGCGGGAAGAAGUGUAAUUGGAGUUGGUUAACCCGUAAAAUCAAAUAUUACCAAUUUUACAUGUUUGUUGGGUU